This 457-nucleotide ribosomal RNA is filed under the name uncultured bacterium. RNAcentral's name for it is "bacterial SSU rRNA". It matches the Rfam family "Bacterial small subunit ribosomal RNA", at positions 340 to 786 of the family's 1533-position model. The record is from RNAcentral.
UACGGAAGGCAGCAGUGGGGAAUAUUGCACAAUGGGCGAAAGCCUGAUGCAGCUAUGCCGCGUGUAUGAAGAAGGCCUUAGGGUUGUAAAGUACUUUCAUCGGGGAGGAAAAACAAAACUAAUAAUUUUAUUUCUUGACGUUACCCGAAAAAGAAGCACCGGCUAACUCCGUGCCAGCAGCCGCGGUAAUACGGAGGGUGCUAGCGUUAAUCAGAAUUACUGGGCGUAAAGAGCACGUAGGUGGUUUUUUUAAGUUCAGAUGUGAAAUCCCUGGGCUUAACCUAGGAACUGCAUUUUAAAACUGAAAUACUAGAGUAUCGUAGAGGGAGGUAGAAUUCUAGGUGUAGCGGUGAAAUGCGUAGAUAUCUGGAGGAAUACCUGUGGCGAAAGCGGCCUCCUAAACGAAUACUGACACUGAGGGUGCGAAAGCGUGGGGAGCAAACAGGGAUUAGAUACC